This 299-nucleotide signal recognition particle RNA is filed under the name Saimiri boliviensis boliviensis (Bolivian squirrel monkey). RNAcentral's name for it is "Metazoan signal recognition particle RNA (ENSSBOG00000006121.1)". It matches the Rfam family "Metazoan signal recognition particle RNA". From Rfam's summary of the family: The signal recognition particle (SRP) is a universally conserved ribonucleoprotein. It is involved in the co-translational targeting of proteins to membranes. The record is from RNAcentral. Lineage: Eukaryota; Metazoa; Chordata; Mammalia; Primates; Cebidae.
GCCAGGUGUGGUGGCAUGUGCUUGUUGCCCCAGCUACUCUAGAGACUGAGGUGGGAGGAUCCCUUGAGCCCAGGAGUUCUGGGCUGCAGUGUGCUAUGCUGAUCAGAUGUCCGCACUAAGUUCGGCAUCAAUAUGGUGACCUCCUGGGAGCGGGGAACCACCAGGUUGCCUAAGGAGGGGUGAACUGGCCUAGGUCGGAAACAGAGCAUGUCAAAACUCCCGUGCUGAUCAGCAGUGGGAUCAAGCCUGUGAAUAGCCACUGUACUCCAGCCUGGGCAACAGAGCGAGACCCCAUCUCU